AGUGACAGAAUAACUGUACUGACCUCUGUGAACGUUAUUGAAAGGAGAGCAGAAAGUACAAUCCUUUACUGAAGUUCACAAAACAGUGCUGCAAGCCAGAUUCAAUCUGAAAAGAUUAAUUUCCAGGCUAUAAUCUGAGGUAAACUGAACUACAUUUCAAAUCGACUCCAUCUGCUAAACAGAAGCAUAGAAAUAAUAGAACAAGCUCAGCUGGAAGGGGUGUGUGGAGGUGAUACAAUGCAGCCCCCCACCAAGAAGGGCCGGCCUCAAGGCUUGAGCAGGGUGCUGAAGGCCCAGCUGGGUCUUGGGAAUGUCCUGAGGUGAAGAUUCCACCACCUCCAUGGGCAGCUGUGCCAGUGCUUGCCCACUCCUGCAGGAAAACGUUCAGUAAAACCUACUUCAGUAGAAUCAGUUGGCCAUUUACAUGGCUGUACUGAAAUGCUGCAUUUUCAUAAACGCUAUGCUUGUUGGAGACCGUUAAAAAAAACAAACCCAGUACAUGGGAGAACAGAGAGAUCUCAGUAGGAAAUGAGCGACUGCCAACAAAUUACCAUUGAUUUACAGGGAGAAUGUACAGAGACUUAUGUGAAUGAUACCUUUUUGUUAGGCCAAUUGCAAAAAUUGCCACUGGAAGGGCCUUACUGAGCAAAAUUGAACAGCAGAUGUUGAUCAUAAAAAGAAGUAAAAAGUCUCAAAGAGCCAGUGAGGACAACACUUGCAGUUAUGACUGGUAGCACCAAGCAAAGCUGUCGACUAUUGUUUCUGUGCAAGGGCUGGGGACAGGAUUUUAACAAAUGCAUCAUGAUUACUGGAAAGCCACUGUGUUUGCCUGCAGAGCUCGAAAGUCAAAGAUAGAAAGAUUGACUCUAGCUCUAGAGCUGCUCACUUCCCAGCAGCGAUAAAUUGCCCUUAUGGAUAAUACCAUGUGAGAGAUGGCCCAGAAAUGACCUGUCAGAAGAAAACAAAGCAUAUGCAGCCCAUGACGUCUGCUCCACAAGUUCUCAUUACAUAAAACAUUAUUCUGAGGGGGGUGACCUUGUUCAACAAGCUGUUCGGAAACACUGGCUCCCAGCACCACUUCAGGAUCUAGGCCAGGCCUUCAUGAGCCCACAGUGUUGGAGAAGCAGGGUAGCAUGGGACUGAUGGGAGCACCGUGCCCAAGAGAUGCUUUCUCAGAACCAUUGCACACACCAAAUGAAAACACAUUCAUUCCUGGCUUAGGGGAAGAGCUUGUCUGGUCUGACUGUCAACAUCCUCUUAAAAAGCAUCUGCUCAUUCUUAUGUGGACAUCUCCAUUCACUAACUGCUUGGUGCUUCCAAGCAAGAAAGUGAAAUUGGUUUUGAGUGAAUGUGCUGUCCCUGGGUGGGAGGUGGGCGGGCAAAGGAGACAUCAGGAAAGCUGGAGAAGCUUUCUGAGGGGAACAGAAAUACUGCUACCUGUUGGAAUAAUAAGCAACUGCAGAUAUUGCAGAUGGCUACUUAUGAGAGAGACGUUAGAGGGAUUAUGAAGAUCAAAUAUCCAAUGUUAAAAGGAAGAGAUGUAACUGAGGCACCCUGUGUAUGCAUAACACUCAAACAAUGGCUUUCCAGGAGUGUACAUUUAGUCACUGAUGCGCUUACUGGUUUUAUUCCAGCUCCUGAGGGAAACGUGUCCACAAAAGAGCAGGUCCCUUGAGUGCUUAAAGGAGCAGUUAAGGACAUCGCUAGCAAGCUAUGUGAUUUCCAAGUGGCAACUUUCUCUGCAGACAGUGUUGAAGGCAUGCCAGUUCUGGGCUUGUGUGUAAUAAUGAAGUCUUAGGAGGACAGGAAGCACCAGAGCAAUCUGAUGAACAAAAAGGCAG
This is a long non-coding RNA of Numida meleagris (helmeted guineafowl), 1841 nucleotides long. RefSeq lists it as uncharacterized. The record is from RefSeq and is a predicted model, not a curated record. Lineage: Eukaryota; Metazoa; Chordata; Aves; Galliformes; Numididae. The transcript is spliced from 2 exons.